GCGCGAAACCUUUACAAUGCACGAAAGUGUGAUAGGGGAAAUCAGCGUGCUUAUGGAAACCAUAGGCUUUUCUUUAGGGUAAAUACCUAAGGGAAUAAGGGAUGGGCAAGACCGGUGCCAGCAGCCGCGGUAACACCGGCGUCCCGAGUGGGAAUCACUUAUUAGGUCUAAAGCGCUCGUAGUCGGCUUUGUAAAUUUCUUGUGAAAUCGUGUCGCUUAACGGCACGGCGUGCAGGAAACACUGCAGAGCUUGGGACUGGGAGGCGUCAGAAGUAUUCCUUAGGGAGCGGUAAAAUGUGAUAAUCUAAGGAGGACUACCUGUGGCGAAGGCGUCUGACGAGAACAGGUUCGACGAUCAGGAGCGAAGGCUAGGGGAGCAAACCGG
This 385-nucleotide ribosomal RNA is filed under the name uncultured euryarchaeote. RNAcentral describes it as "bacterial SSU rRNA". It matches the Rfam family "Archaeal small subunit ribosomal RNA", at positions 339 to 727 of the family's 1478-position model. The record is from RNAcentral. Lineage: Archaea; Methanobacteriati; Methanobacteriota.